RNAcentral lists this long non-coding RNA (8603 nucleotides) under Triticum aestivum (bread wheat). Its description in RNAcentral is "long non-coding RNA (TAES_LNC025268)". The stretch from base 6239 to 6373 matches the Rfam family "MIR1120/MIR1122 microRNA precursor family". The record is from RNAcentral. Lineage: Eukaryota; Viridiplantae; Streptophyta; Magnoliopsida; Poales; Poaceae.
UCCCGAUGCAAUGACAAAAUCUGGUGAUUGUAGGGCGAGGAGCUUGCUGAUGUCUAUGGCAGUUGAUCUAGAUGGCGGCCAGGUCAAGUUUGUUCUUUUGAGAGUAAGUGUCAUAUAUUGCUUUCAUUUUCUUGUAUAUGCAUUAAUUAGAUCACAGAUGGCUCCAUUCAAACAGAAAAGACUCUUUCAUGAUCGCUCAUUCCAGUGCUCGAAGCGCUGGAUGUGUCCCUUUCCAUAUCAACAACCCUGGCCCCACAUUCUNNNNNNNNNNNNNNNNNNNNNNNNNNNNNNNNNNNNNNNNNNNNNNNNNNNNNNNNNNNNNNNNNNNNNNNNNNNNNNNNNNNNNNNNNNNNNNNNNNNNNNNNNNNNNNNNNNNNNNNNNNNNNNNNNNNNNNNNNNNNNNNNNNNNNNNNNNNNNNNNNNNNNNNNNNNNNNNNNNNNNNNNNNNNNNNNNNNNNNNNNNNNNNNNNNNNNNNNNNNNNNNNNNNNNNNNNNNNNNNNNNNNNNNNNNNNNNNNNNNNNNNNNNNNNNNNNNNNNNNNNNNNNNNNCACUUUCCUAAUUAGCUAACUGCUUCCUGUCGGAAAGAGCGCGCAUUAGCCUUGCCCCCAUUCAAACUUAAGAGCGUCACUUUUAAUGAAAGAAACAUAAAAAAUCAUUUGCUUUUGUAUCUUGAUGCACCUUAUGUUUCACUUUAUUUAAGAAAACAACAAAAAUUUGUGUUUUAUCUCUCAAAGUCAUGACUAAAGAAAAGAAAACCCCAAUAUAUAUUUUUGUCCUUUGUUGUAUGGUUCUUUUUUUAGGAUGACAUCACUUGAAUAACAUAGUUGGACAUUCUUAAUUGGUUUGAACAAAAUGAUGAGCGCAAAUAUCGAUUUGUCAGCUUCUUGCUCAACCUUUUAAAUCUCCAGUCGGAAGAACAAACCACUGCCGAGAUGGCAUGCCCCAUGGUUUGUGGAAGUAGUUGCACAACAUAGGUGAGACAAUUCGUUGAGACAUGUCCUUUUCUUCUUCUUACAUAGCAUGCAGAAUGAGUCAAAGCGGGAUGAAGAUUGUAAGCGCAUGUGCAAUGGUGCUAUCUUAGAAGUGCCAUGUAGAAUAAAUGAUGAGGUGGAGGAGAGAGAACUCAUAAGAAAAGGCUUGUCUUCUCUUAUUUAAGAUAAGACAAAAGAUGAUCUCUUAGCAUAAUUUGUCUCACCAUGUUUUAAGGAAUUUGCUAGUUAUUGAAGAUAAGGCUAAGAUAUAACCCAUUGUAGACAUUUUUUUGUCAUCUCGAUAAGACUGUCUUAUCAACCAUUGUACAUGCCCUAAGUGCCGAAACCGUCCACACAUGACGCAUUUUACCCCCAUGUCACUAGAUCUGUUGGUUGGAUCCUAAUAAGAUGGACCUCUGUUUGACAUCACCUUUCUUGUCCUUGAAGUUUUUUCCCAGUCCUCAUUGAUAUCACAGACCAUCCGCAAAAGAAUUCGUAACGCCGCCGGAACAUUUGGAAGCCUCCUUCCACUUCUGCUUCUCUCUGGUCUUUUUCCGACCACCACAGAGGACUCCAAUCCUCUCAAUCUCGACAGCACUUGCUCUUCUCACAUUGCAGCUUUCUCACACAUGUCCAUUUUCCUUCGUAUCUCUUCAUUCUUGUAGAAUGCAUCAUAACGGUGCUAGCUUUAGUGGUUGUCAUGGUCAUAUCACGACCAUGGUCCUUAGAAACUACAGUGGUGAAGGGGAGGGAGAUAGUAGGAUCACCAUUAUUUUGGGCCACUCUCAUUGUUGUAACCUGUCACCACACCAUGAUAGUAGAUGCAAGAAAACCUAAUGAUAGGCCGACCGCCCCUUUGGGAUCCACAUCCAUGUAUACCUUAGGCUAGACACCUCGCCUGCCUCUGAGCACAUCAGAGUGUUAGACAAGCCAAAAGUGGUACCAAGUCCAUCUUGAGAUGCCCCAUAGACUACAAGAUAUAGCAAUGAAGCUAGCCACGUCAUCCAACUGGACUGGCGCACCUAGAUAGGCGCCCACUUCUCACUAUGCCUAGACCAUUGGUGGAAAAUCUAUGGUUUAUGCAAUCUUUGUCGAGGAGCCACCGUCGCCACCAACAACCACCACCACCUUAAGACCAUCUCCGACUGGUGUGGAAGAACCAAAGAAGGCCUCUCAAGCAUCGCCACUAAUGCAUCUCGUUGGCUCUACCCUUUUGGGCAUGUCGCUUUGCCGCACGAGGUUGUCCUAGAUCCAAAUAGCCAUCUCGAUAGUGGAGCCAAUAACGACAGCAUAGAAAUGUUGGUGCUCGGAGCGAAGACUGAGCACCGUGUGAGCUUGAGGUUCUCCACAACUUCGCUGCUCAUUGAUGUAACAACUAGAGUCAACACCAACGGUCCCAAAACCGAGCAGAAAGGUUCUUGUGACGAUGGGAUGGAGCACGGCCGGUGAAUUGCAUAGAGGCUUCCCUAGUAGUUACAUAGUUGUAUGUACCAAAACCCAAGUAGAUAGGCACAAACAAAACAAGAUAAAUAGGGCAAGAUUGAUGAGAUACCAAUGUGGUGCCAAUUACUAAUGAUGUACACACAAGAUGUCAUCGGUUAUCAUGGUAUGGUCGCUAGCUUCCAUGUUGCUUGGUCGACCCUCUCAUCCCCUUCAUCACAUGUUCAUCUCCUAGAGAGCAUUCUUCAUGAUCGACUUAUUUGACUUGAGGGCCCCGAACUUUUUUAUGGCAUGAUGACACUCCAACUGUACCACUUCGUACUCCUUGGACCUUCGACAUGUUAUUCGUCAAUGAUCCGGUAACUAGGAGGCCGUGAAGGUCGUCAAUGUAUUUGUGCAAGAAGUCGACGUCCAUACUUAGUAGCUCAAAGUACUCUAGGGUCUUUUUCCAUGCCAUGAGAUCCUCGUGGGAAGGCGAAGAGGCGGGCAUCGCCCUAAUGCCCUCGGCGAUGUUGCUCGUCUCUAUGGUCACUCAUGUAGUGGGCGUCAGGUUUAUGUGCUUCGGCAUACAGCUGUGGAGGAGCGACUUCAGGUCGUGACAGAGCCCAUAGUAUGCCUACACCAUCGAACGAGAGUAGUUGGCGGUUGACGGGAGCGGCGUCGUUGACGAUCUUGAACUAUCGGAAAGCUUUUGCUAGUAUAAAAUCGGUGUCUAGGUCUAGAGAGUUCUAAUGGCAUCUUCUUCACUGGCUAUGUUAUUGUUAUAAUCCUCAAAUGCUUUGGGUACUGACUCGUGUGGUUACCUCUGGAUUCUCCUUGGACUUGACAUCAUAAUUCGAAUUUUUUUCUUCUACAUUGUAGAAUCAAGCACAUGAUUCAAAGAUUCAAAUUUCAUAACAACUUUGAUGCACAAAUAAAUUAGCAGGUACAAAAAUGAACGACAUAAAACUUUUAACUCACUACGUGUCCAAACUCAGGAGAACAAUACAUGUCCAAGGAAAACAGUAUAUUGAAUGAGUUGAAAGUUACGUCUUCUUCAUUUUAGAACCUACUAGUUUAUUUGUUUUCAAAAUAAGUCUUUAUGGAAUUUGAAUAUUCCGAAUCGUAUGUUCUAUUUUACAACGAGGAAGAAGAAAAGUUCUGAUGAUGUCAAGUCCAAGGAGGAUCCAAAGAUAACCUGCGUUAGUAGUGAAGGACAAUAGCAAUAACCAAGCUUGCGAAAAAAUGGCAGAAGGUCUACAUCCCUAGACAUAUAUUUCGACGUCGUCCAAAGCUUCAAAACUUCAAGAUCAUCGUCAAUGGUGCGGCUAUCAAUCGCGAACUACUCAAUGUUUACCGUGUAGGGCAUAUUACAGGUCUUGCCAAGAUCGGAAGUCGCUUCUCCAUGGGCGUAUGCCGAAGUACAUGAACCCGAUUGCUCACUGUAGGAUUGAUCACGGGGAGGGUCAACAUUGCCGAGGGCAUUAGGUCCUUCCUCACCUCUUCGUCUUCCCACGAGGACCUCGUGGAGUGGAAGAAUACCCUGGAGUUCUUUGAGCUGCUAAAGCAUGGGCUUCAGCUUCAUGCACAAGUGUGACGAUGACCUCCUUGGCCUCAUUGCCUGAUUUUCAUCGGAUUGCUUGUCGACCUAGUCCAAGGGGUACAAGGAGGUGAAGUUGGAGUGUGCUCCCUCCGUGGAGAAGCUGAGGGCACUUGUGUCAAAGAUGCCAAGCCAGAAGACUGCUCUCAAAGUGGUGGAAAUGGAGAUGUAGGGUCGAACACAAAGAAGAGGGUCGACCAAGCUAUGCGGCAAUUAGCGACUGAUGACCCCUUGUGUACAUUGUUAGUGAUCGGAACCACAAAACUAUCUCAUCGUACUUGCCCUAUCUAUCUAGCUCUAGUUGUGUCUAUCUAGUUGGUUUUUGGUACACAUGUACCACUAGAAAGGAUGUUGUGUUUUCGUGCACAUCAACUUUACCUUAGUUUGUACAGCAAUUAUGUGUGAUGAAAUGGUUAUAUGUCGUGUGGUUUCAUGGUUUGUUAUGAGCAUGUGCUAUUUGUUUAUUUUUGUAGAUGCUGUUUUGGUGCCAAACUGGACAUGCAUGUUUUGAUUGAGUUCACUGUUACGUUUCAUGAGGGAGAGGAGAUGAAGUAUAGGUAAAUAGCUUAAGAAUCAUUGAUCUACUCAGACUCAAGGAGGAAAAACAACAUCUGAACUUAACUUGAGACUGUUAAGAAACAACUCAUGGGACACGUGAUGACCAAUUUAUGGAGUCUUUUCUUGGAAGAUAAAUUUAUGGAGUCUUAAGCUGUUAUCCAAUAAAUCCAGGCAGGCAAUGUGUCUUAUUGAGAUUAUACAAUACGAGUAGAAAAUAAAGAAGGAUUGCCUAUCUACAAUAUAAUCCACCUACUGAUUCUUGCACGUAGACGACGAAAACGAUCACCAUUCUUUUGAUCAUUUAUCUGACCGUUUCUUGAACCUUUGUAUUCUUGAAUUCCAUUUUGUGUGGAAAUUUUGUUGUAUUUUUUUUCUCACGUUGGUACAAUGUCUGAGGAUUUUGUUGAAACUCCCUGGUAUGUUAAGUUUUUUAAAAGUGAGUACAAUGUAGACAGUGUGUACCAAUUUAUUUUGAGGAAAAGGAUAUGUUCAAUGCUGCAACAAAGGUUGUGGUGGGAAAUGGUGAACACUCCUACCUUUGGUGCGAUAAGUGGCUCGAUGGAGUUUCUCUGGACAUCGCACUGGAUAUCGUCGGCUGAACACCCCCUCUACUAGCGCGCAGAAAGAUGGCUGAGGCGUUGCUUGAUUCUGCUUGGUUAAAAGACAUAUGGGCCCCCCUUAACAUUGGCGUUUAUCUUCAAUUACUCGAGCUUUGGGAAAGACUUUGCUCUUCACCCAGAGCAUGAUGAUAGCUGGUCAUGGUUGUGGGAGGCUAGCAGUAGUUUCUAGGUCAAGUCCUUCUACGUGGCCCACUUUGUCACUUCUUUAGGAGCAGCUUCGAUGAGGCCAUACGGAAGGCUCCUGAGAAUCUGGACAACCGAUCAAGGUCUCCCACAUAACGAACUAUGUGCCAUGUGCAGUCUUGUGCCUGAGGACUGUAGUCUUCUCUUUCCCGAUUGUGCCGUUUAGACUGCCAGUAUAACUUUGAAACACCAUCCUCCAAUAGUCUAACUUGCAGAUAGUCGUCCCGAUCAUGGAUCAGGACCUCAUGUUCUGGGGGAUCACUGCUAGGGAAGCUUACCACGGUAAGGACCGGAAGAGGCUCGUUUGUCUCUGUAUGUUGCGGUCUGGACCAUAUGGAGAGAAAGGAAUGCUCUUGUUUUUGACAUCAAGGUUAGUCCCAUCGUUCAGGUCGUGAAUCAGCUUACCGCAGAUGCAGAGUUGUGGCUAGGAAAGAUUUAGGUUCUUUUCUUUAUUUCCCUUCAUCUGGCCUUUAUCUGUUCUAUGUCUUUAUGGUGUGGUCAUUGGCCGUGUUCUUGUUGUUCUUUAUUUGACUUUGAUCCGUUUUAUUCUGCUACAAAUUUAACAUAUAGUUCUCUUGCAUGGUUGAAAAAAAUUAAAGCCUGUGCCAGGCUCGUGUAAUCUUGUUUCCUUGCCUUUUCAUUGCGGGAUAUUUUUGUAAUCUAGAUACUACUGUUGCUGCUACUUUAUUGCUAGAUCACUAGUUGAGAUUUAGUAGAGUAACAAAAUUAUUGAUCUACUAGUUCAUGUUUAGGCGCAUAACAAUGAGUAAUCUGCCAUGGUUGCUUAACUAAUUUCCAGAGGAAGGGAGAGACGGCAGCAGGUGAUCCCUAGUCUGUCAAGACCAACAACGGGCAGAAAGUGGCAUUGUUGCAUCAAAUGUCGUAACAACUACUCCCUUCGUUCCAAAUUACUUGUCUUCGAUUUGUCUAGAUACGGAUGUAUCUAGCACUAAAAUGAGUCUAGAUACAUCCGUAUCUAGACAAAUCUAAGACAAGUAAUUCAGAACGGAGGGAGUACAACCAUAGUAGCAGACAUGUACAUGAUGACGAUUUUGAGCAGAUAGUGAGAGCCUUCAUGUGACCAUCAAAUGAUCUUACAUUACUGCAAUUUCAGCACAUCUUCUUUUCCAAGCUUCAGAGUACCAAGUGCAUGCACGUUUCCAUAUAUUAACUAUUAAAAAAAGGAAACCACUUAUUGUUUAGUUUGUAGGUUGGUUGGUCGUUCGAUAGAUCGAACUGUGAGGAAAAGGCUGUUAUGAUGCCACUUCAUUAAUUUUUUCUGUCAGCCUUUUUUUUUCUUGUGUUUCCAUAUCUUCAGUCUUACUACCUAGCGGAACAGCCCGACAAACCAAAAAAUUAUUUGCGUAUGUUUUCUCUUCCUGUGCUAAAUAUUACUGCAGUGACUAGUAUAAGUACACAAUGAUGUUCCUUUUUGGUCUUUUACUAAACUACAACUUCUCUGGCACAAAAAAGAUUUUUUUUCAAAGCUAUGACGUAUUUUAUAGCAAAUUCGAAAACUAUAGCAAAGAGUGAAGAAAAAUCAAAACUAGCACCCCGUCGGCCACGCGUGGACCGAAAAGGGUGUUUUCGGCCUCCCUUUGGCCGAAAUGGACUUUUCGGCCUUGCCUUUGCCGAAAAGGUGCGUACUUGGGCCGAAAAGUCCUUUUUGGUCAGGAGUAGGCCGAAGAGUCCUUUUUGGCCAGGAGUAGGCCAAAAAGUCCUUUUUGGCCAGGAGUAGGCCAAAAAGUCCCUUGGGCCCACCUUUUCACGUUAAUGGUUGACCGAAGUUGCAUGGCUCCACUCUUCGGCUUACGUUAGGCCGAAGCGAUUUUUUUUUAAUUUUGGUAUAUAAAUACUGUGUAACCAUUGUCCAUCUUAGACACUGAAAAUAUAUAUUUUCGCGCAACCCUUUACCCUCAAUAUUUUUCCAUCAACUCUUUUCCGCCAUCCGUUUCCCGCCAACCCCUUCCUGUCAUAUGUUCCUGCCACCCGUUUCCCGCCAACCCUUUCCCGCCAUACCACAAUAUACCAUUAAAUAAAUUCUUCAUAUUAAAAAAAAAAAGGAUAAAAGCGCAAGCGAUGGAGUCAAAAACCUGACCUCACGCUGGAUAUAUGUGUUACCAGCCAAAUAGGAUAGCAUCUGGCUAAUGUACAACAACUGAUCCCUUUCUUUAUAAAAAGUCAACAUUUUCGAAAAAAGUGAACAAUUUUACUUUAGCAAUUUAAAAAAUUAUUUAAAAUAAAAAUUUCCGAAAUACGAACAAACUUUUAAAACGUGAAAAUGUAUUGAACACAUGAACAAAAUUUUAUAAUUCCAAACAUUUAUUGAUUUUUUAAGUGAUGAACAAUUUAUAAAUAUACACUCAGCAUUUUUGUAGUAUAAGCUGAAAAUUUUCUGAAGACACAUUGAAUAUUUUUGUGAUAUACGGUUAAUGUUUUUCUGAAUUGUGAAGACAUUUAGAAAAAGUGAAAAGAUUUUGAGAAACAUGAUUUUUUUAAAUAUGAAGAAUUUAUUUAAUGGUAUAAUGUGGUAUGGCGGGAAAGGGUUGACGGGAGCAUAUGGCGAGAAAGGGUUAAAACAGGUGGCAGGAACAUAUGACGGGAAGGGGUUGGCGGGAAACGGGUGGCGGGAAAGAGUUGGCAGGAAAAUAUUAAGGGAAAAGGGUUGCGCGAAAAUAUAUUUUUUCAAUGUCUAAAAUGGGCAAUGGUUGCAUAGUAUUUAUAUACCAGAAUUUUAAAAAAAAUCGCCUCGGCCUAACGUGGAGCCAUGCUACUUCGGUCAACUAUUAACGUGAAAAGGUGGGCCCAAGGGACUUUUCGACCUACACCUGACCAAAAAGGACUUUUCGGCCUACUCCUGACCAAAAAGGUCUUUUCGGCCCCUUUUCGGCCAAGGCAAGGCCGAAAAGUCCAUUUCGGUCAAAGGGAGGCCGAAAACACCCUUUUCGGCUCAUGCGUGGCCGACGGGGUGCUAGUUUUGAUUUUUCUCCACUCUUUGCUAUAGUUUUCAAAUUUGCUAUAAAUGCGUCAUAAUUUAGAAAAAAAAUCCAUAAAAAAUUGGUGAUUGUAGGACUAGGAACUUGCUACUGGUGUUGCUCAGCAUUCUAUGGCAACGAGUUUGUUCCAGAUGGCGGCAAGGUUGCCUUUGUUCCUUUUUUGAAAGUAAGGGUUUUGUUGCUUUAGUUCUCUUGUAUAUGUGCAUUAAUUGGACCGUAAAUAGCUCCAUGGAGAUAAUUACCUUUUAAUGAUAG